RNAcentral lists this ribosomal RNA (300 nucleotides) under uncultured bacterium. RNAcentral's name for it is "bacterial SSU rRNA". It matches the Rfam family "Bacterial small subunit ribosomal RNA", at positions 505 to 795 of the family's 1533-position model. The record is from RNAcentral.
GCAUCAGCGGGAGCGGUGGGGGCGGUAAGACGGGGGUGUGAAGCUGUAAGCGGAAGUACUGGGCGGAAAGCGCACGCAGGCGGUUGGAUAAGUUAGAGGUGAAAGCCCCGUGCUCAACCUGGGAAUUGCAUUUAAAACUGUCCAGCUAGAGUCUUGUAGAGGGGGGUAGAAUUCCAGGAGUAGCGGUGAAAUGCGUAGAGAUCUGGAGGAAUACCGGUGGCGAAGGCGACCCCCUGGACAAAGACUGACGCUCAGGUGCGAAAGCGUGGGGAGCAAACAGGAUUAGAUACCCUGGUAGUC